This 253-nucleotide ribosomal RNA is filed under the name uncultured bacterium. RNAcentral describes it as "partial 16S ribosomal RNA". It matches the Rfam family "Bacterial small subunit ribosomal RNA", at positions 524 to 776 of the family's 1533-position model. The record is from RNAcentral.
UACGUAGGGUGCGAGCGUUGUCCGGAAUUAUUGGGCGUAAAGAGCUUGUAGGCGGUCUGUCGCGUCUGCUGUGAAAAUCCGGGGCUCAACCCCGGACUUGCAGUGGGUACGGGCAGACUAGAGUGUGGUAGGGGAGACUGGAAUUCCUGGUGUAGCGGUGAAAUGCGCAGAUAUCAGGAGGAACACCAAUGGCGAAGGCAGCUCGCUGGAACGGUACUGACGCUGAGGCGCGAAAGCGUGGGGAGCGAACAGG